This is a non-coding RNA of Pelobates cultripes (western spadefoot toad), 493 nucleotides long. The record is from the annotation of a GenBank genome assembly. NCBI's taxonomy places the organism in Eukaryota, Metazoa, Chordata, Amphibia, Anura, Pelobatidae.
UAUAUAAAUGUUUUUGUGCCAGGGAUAAAUCGUGGAAUUUGACCAUUUCCAAGAAUAUACUUGCAACAUUCUUGUUUGUGAUUUUGUAAAAGUAAAAACACACUCACACAUUCCAUUAUUUCAUUACAUAAUUUAAAAGUUUCUUUUUAUUUUUUGCACCAUUAUUGGUUAAUUCUGUUGAGUCACUUAAUGGUCAAUUAGGCUAGUCCCAUCUAUAUACAUGGUUCACCCCAUGUUUCGAUUUAAUGCCCUACCAUCUGAUUGUGAGGGUUUAUAAGGCAAUAACCCCCACCUGCACGUUGUCUUGAGAAAGUCGUGUGGUAAGGACGAAACACGUAGAUGCUGUGCUUUUCCCCCCAGCAAAUUUGCCUUCACUGUUUGAAAUGCUGAGCAUUCAGCUAGUAUCCAGCAAGGAGCCGCAGUCUUUUGCGAAGUUCCCGACCGCGGCACUAUCUCCACAGCACACCCCCUACGCGAUCAUCUCCACAGAGGC